AGGAUUAGAUACCCUAGUAUGAAAAUUAAUUUAAAUUAUUAUGAGAAGAAAUUUAAAUUUUUUGGCGGUAGAUUUUAUUUAGAGGAGCUUGUUUAAUAGAAAUUACUCUUUAAAUCUUAAAAAUUUUUGUUUAUUUAUCUCCGUUAAAAAUAGUAAGUUAAUUUCUUAUAAUCAGGUCAAGAUAUAGCAAUAAUUUUAAAAAAUUAGCUACAAUAAUAGGAAUUAUUGGAUUAAAGGAAAUAUUUUUUGAUGAAAUUGAAUUUAAUUGUAAUUUAAUUUAAAAAGAUUAAAUGAACAUUAAAAAUUUAUGUACAUAUUGCCCGUCACUUCUUUAUAAAGAAUAAGUCGUAACAAAGUA
RNAcentral lists this ribosomal RNA (358 nucleotides) under Holovonones compressus. RNAcentral's name for it is "partial small subunit ribosomal RNA". Lineage: Eukaryota; Metazoa; Arthropoda; Arachnida; Opiliones; Cosmetidae. The record is from RNAcentral.